This is a long non-coding RNA of Hevea brasiliensis (rubber tree), 802 nucleotides long. RefSeq lists it as uncharacterized. The record is from RefSeq and is a predicted model, not a curated record. The transcript has 2 exons. NCBI's taxonomy places the organism in Eukaryota, Viridiplantae, Streptophyta, Magnoliopsida, Malpighiales, Euphorbiaceae.
UUCAAUUGUAAGUCAAUAAUUAUACAGUUGCUUCUAAGCAAGCAUUUCCAGUUAUCAUUUCACAUGGUCCACUCUAUCUCCAUCUUUCUUUAUCAUCUAUAGCUUUCCCUUGCAAGAGUUAUCAAGAAUCCAAGCAAAGCAACUAUAUCCCAUGUAUACUGAAAAGACCACGGAUCAGAGGUUCAAGUUUAUGUUAUGGCUCCUAUCACCACCCUCUUCUUCUUCCUCCUAUCUUCUUUUCAUCUUCUGACUGAACCUCAGCUAUUAUCAUUCCAUGUUUUAACAUAUCAAGAACCUCUGUCAAGUCUGGGCUUUUCCCUUCUAGAUGUUCAAACCGUCCUCUGAUAUAUCUGAUUUGCAUCAAUGGAUUAGGUAGGCUUUAAUAUUUCUUUUAAGCUGGGAAGCAAUGGAAUUGGUAAAAGCUUCUUCUUAUUUAUUUUUUUAUUUAUUUGUUUUCUCCUCCUCUGAUAUAUCUGAUUUGCAUCUAUUGAUUAGGUAGGCUUUAGUUUCUUUUGAGCUUGGAAGCAAUGGAAUUGGAACCUUCAUCAAGAUUUGGUUUUGCUCUCAUGGAUGUUCCUACCUUCUUAUGAUCUGAUGGCUUUGUGUGCUGGGACUUCAAGCACUUUACCCCUCAUCUCAGUCUUGCUGCCUCUGCAUGUCAUGUAUCUCUCUCUAUGUUAUUUCGUGUAUCCGUUGUAUGUAUGCCAAAUAGAUUUUGAUUAUGGUGAGAUUUAUGAGCUUCACUAUGAUCAAUGGUUAUGAUAAUGGUUAUAAUGAAAUUUUGUGCUCUAAAUUUUUUUUU